GGAGUCGACUCGGCUGAAACAGGAGUCACUUAUGAAUAGUAGUCUGUCGGCACUAUAGCUGGGAGUCGGCUCCGCACUGUAGCACUGAAGUUGGAGUCGACUCGAGAUCACUGUAGCGCUGAAAAUCAACUUUCUGUUUUUUUGUUUGUUCUCAGUCGGAGUCGACUCGUAGAGUAUCGGAGUCGACUCGAGCACUGUUUCUUGAAACUCUAGAGUGCCAGAGUCGACUCGGAACUUCCAGGAGUCGACUCGAGGACUAUUCUUUUGAAUCUUUCUUUGAGUUUGCUCCUCCAACUUGAAUCCUUUGAACUUGAAACUUGGGCCAAUUAAGUAUAUCUUUCUUCCAACUUUUUGAGAGCUUUUGAGGCCUUCUUCUAUUCUUCCAACUUGUUAUGUUUCUAGCAAAAUAAAUAUCUUU
RNAcentral lists this long non-coding RNA (418 nucleotides) under Phoenix dactylifera (date palm). Its description in RNAcentral is "long non-coding RNA (PDAC_LNC011408)". Lineage: Eukaryota; Viridiplantae; Streptophyta; Magnoliopsida; Arecales; Arecaceae. The record is from RNAcentral.